CCCAAAGAAUUUGGCGGUAUUUCAUUCCAUUCAGAGGAACCUAUCUCGUAAUUGAUAGUACACGAUUAACUUUACUUGAUUUAUUUGUUUGUAUAUCUCCGUUAUCAGAAAAUCUUUUUGGAGCUAUAAUUUUCCUGUUUUUUCAUUAAAAUUUAUUUCAGGUCAAGGUGCAGCUUAUAAUCAAGUGUGUGAUGGGUUACAAUAAAUUUUUUUAUUAUGGAUUUAAUUUUGAAAUUUUUUAAUGAAGGUGGAUUUGAUAGUAAUUUAAUUUAUUUAAUUUAAUUGAUAUUGGCUCU
RNAcentral lists this ribosomal RNA (296 nucleotides) under Sphingonotus caerulans. RNAcentral describes it as "partial 12S ribosomal RNA". The record is from RNAcentral. Lineage: Eukaryota; Metazoa; Arthropoda; Insecta; Orthoptera; Acrididae.